CAGCAGCCGCGGUAAUACGUAGGGGGCAAGCGUUAUCCGGAAUUACUGGGUGUAAAGGGAGCGUAGACGGUUAAACAAGUCUGAAGUGAAAUGCCAGGGCUCAACCCCGGAGCUGCUUUGGGAACUGUAGAACUGGAGUGUCGGAGGGGUAAGCGGAAUUCCCAGUGUAGCGGUGAAAUGUGUAGAUAUUGGGAGGAACACCGGCGGCGAAGGCGGCUUACUGGACGACAACUGACGUUGAGGCUCGAAGGCGUGGGUAGCAAACAGGAUUAGAUACCCCUGUAGUCCCUGUCUCUUAUAC
This 301-nucleotide ribosomal RNA is filed under the name uncultured bacterium. RNAcentral's name for it is "partial 16S ribosomal RNA". It matches the Rfam family "Bacterial small subunit ribosomal RNA", at positions 509 to 807 of the family's 1533-position model. The record is from RNAcentral.